RNAcentral lists this transfer RNA (84 nucleotides) under Microcoleus sp. FACHB-831. It matches the Rfam family "tRNA". Rfam says of the family: Transfer RNA (tRNA) molecules are approximately 80 nucleotides in length. Their secondary structure includes four short double-helical elements and three loops (D, anti-codon, and T loops). Further hydrogen bonds mediate the characteristic L-shaped molecular structure. tRNAs have two regions of fundamental functional importance: the anti-codon, which is responsible for specific mRNA codon recognition, and the 3' end, to which the tRNAs corresponding amino acid is attached (by aminoacyl-tRNA synthetases). tRNAs cope with the degeneracy of the genetic code in two manners: having more than one tRNA (with a specific anti-codon) for a particular amino acid; and 'wobble' base-pairing, i.e. permitting non-standard base-pairing at the 3rd anti-codon position. The record is from Rfam by way of RNAcentral. Lineage: Bacteria; Bacillati; Cyanobacteriota; Cyanophyceae; Oscillatoriales; Microcoleaceae.
GGGCGGGUGGCGGAACUGGUAGACGCACUAGACUCAAAAUCUAGCGGCCUUGCGGCCAUAAGAGUUCGAUUCUCUUCCUGCCCA